UACGUAGGGUGCAGGCGUUAAUCGGAAUUACUGGGCGUAAAGCGUGCGCAGGCGGUUUCUUAAGUCAGAUGUGAAAGCCCCGGGCUCAACCUGGGAACUGCGUUUGAAACUGGGAGACUUGAGUGUGGCAGAGGGGGGUGGAAUUCCACGUGUAGCAGUGAAAUGCGUAGAUAUGUGGAGGAACACCGAUGGCGAAGGCAGCCCCCUGGGUCAACACUGACGCUCAUGCACGAAAGCGUGGGGAGCAAACAGG
RNAcentral lists this ribosomal RNA (253 nucleotides) under uncultured bacterium. RNAcentral's name for it is "partial 16S ribosomal RNA". It matches the Rfam family "Bacterial small subunit ribosomal RNA", at positions 524 to 776 of the family's 1533-position model. The record is from RNAcentral.